UGGGGAAUCUUGCACAAUGGGGGCAACCCUGAUGCAGCGACGCCGCGUGAGCGAUGAAGCCCUUCGGGGCGUAAAGCUCUUUCGACCGGAACGAUAAUGACGGUACCGGGAGAAGAAGCUGCGGCUAACUACGUGCCAGCAGCCGCGGUAAUACGUAGGCAGCAAGCGUUGUUCGGAGUUACUGGGCGUAAGAGUGCGUAGGCGGUUUUCUAAGUUCGGUGUGAAAUCUCCCGGCUUAACUGGGAGGGUGCGCCGAAGACUGGGAAGCUGGAGUGUGGGAAAGGCAGGCGGAAUUCCUGGUGUAGCGGCGAAAUGCGUAGAUAUCAGGAGGAACACCGGCGGUGUAGACAGCUUGCUAGACCAUAACUGACGCUGAGGCACGAAAGCGUGGGUAGCAAACA
RNAcentral lists this ribosomal RNA (401 nucleotides) under uncultured bacterium. Its description in RNAcentral is "bacterial SSU rRNA". It matches the Rfam family "Bacterial small subunit ribosomal RNA", at positions 355 to 774 of the family's 1533-position model. The record is from RNAcentral.